GCCGCGUUAGCUCAGUGGACAGAGCCACCCCCUCCUAGCGGGUUAGGUCGGCGGUUCGAAUCCGUCACGCGGCUCCA
RNAcentral lists this transfer RNA (77 nucleotides) under Burkholderiaceae bacterium. RNAcentral's name for it is "tRNA-Arg". It matches the Rfam family "tRNA". Rfam says of the family: Transfer RNA (tRNA) molecules are approximately 80 nucleotides in length. Their secondary structure includes four short double-helical elements and three loops (D, anti-codon, and T loops). The record is from RNAcentral. Lineage: Bacteria; Pseudomonadati; Pseudomonadota; Betaproteobacteria; Burkholderiales; Burkholderiaceae.